RNAcentral lists this ribosomal RNA (942 nucleotides) under Triticum aestivum (bread wheat). RNAcentral describes it as "partial small subunit ribosomal RNA". The record is from RNAcentral. Lineage: Eukaryota; Viridiplantae; Streptophyta; Magnoliopsida; Poales; Poaceae.
AUGUCCCUGCCUUCAUCUCCUUCUUUGGUGAGAGGCGGAAAAGUUGGCACCGAGGUGGUACAAGCAUCGGUGGACCAAAAGAUGACAUCGAUGGAGUAUCUGGUGCUCAACCUUUGCGACCCUACGCUACGCGAGAGAUCCCUCGCGGAGCUCUCUAAGGAGAGGGAGAUGUUUCCGGAUCUGGCCCCUUUGUUGUGGUACUCAUUCGGCACAAUUGCCGCGUUGGUCCAGGAGAUUCUAAGAAUCUACCCUGCGCUUUCGCCUCCAACUUUAACGUCUGCUGCAUCAACACGGGUUUGCAACGCACUCACACUUUUUCAGUGCGUUGCAUCACGCCCUGAGACCAGAAGCUCUUUCAUAGAAGCUGAUAUUCCAUUGUACCUGUACCCAUUCUUGCGUACCGUAGACAAGGCCCAAGCUUUUGAGCAAUUGCGGCUCGCCACUUUGGGUGUCAUUGGUGCUCUGGUAAAGGAUGAGAAUACUAAAGCUACUGAGUAUUUGCUCAAAUGUGAAACCAUUCCUUUGUGCUUGAAUAUCAUGGAGAUAGGCAAUGAGCCUUCAAAAACCGUGUCCACUUUCAUUCUCCUAAAGGUUCUGCGAAACGAACUUGGUCUGCAUCGCUGUUGUGACACUCGCGGUCCUUUCUAUGAUAUUGCUUUUGCUUUACAAAAGAGGGUUAACUCACCAGACGAACGGCCUUCGGCAAGGUUGCUGAGGUGCAUUAUCCAGUGUUACCUUAGGCUAUUAGAUCAUCCUAGGGGCCAUGCGGUGUUAAAAACAUGGUUUCCCAGCGUGCUACAGACCGGGACAUUCAAUGACUAUCUCACGAAGGAUCCUUCAAUGCAAGAGUGUCUGCAGCAACUGUUGGCUAAGAUGGAGGCUGGGAGUCCCAUCAGGUCGCUCCAUUUUCUCCGCUGCAGUGACAACGCUAUCAUACCAUGA